GAUGAACGCUGGCGGCGUGCCUAAUACAUGCAAGUCGAGCGAACAGACGAGGAGCUUGCUCCUUUGACGUUAGCGGCGGACGGGUGAGUAACACGUGGGUAACCUACCUAUAAGACUGGGAUAACUUCGGGAAACCGGAGCUAAUACCGGAUAAUAUUUCGAACCGCAUGGUUCGAUAGUGAAAGAUGGCUCUGCUAUCACUUAUAGAUGGACCUGCGCCGUAUUAGCUAGUUGGUAAGGUAACGGCUUACCAAGGCAACGAUACGUAGCCGACCUGAGAGGGUGAUCGGCCACACUGGAACUGAGACACGGUCCAGACUCCUACGGGAGGCAGCAGUAGGGAAUCUUCCGCAAUGGGCGAAAGCCUGACGGAGCAACGCCGCGUGAGUGAUGAAGGUCUUCGGAUCGUAAAACUCUGUUAUUAGGGAAGAACAAACGUGUAAGUAACUGAGCACGUCUUGACGGUACCUAAUCAGAAAGCCACGGCUAACUACGUG
Molecule: ribosomal RNA, 497 nt
Filed under: uncultured bacterium
Lineage: Bacteria
Description: partial 16S ribosomal RNA
Rfam family: Bacterial small subunit ribosomal RNA
Source: RNAcentral